This 253-nucleotide ribosomal RNA is filed under the name uncultured bacterium. Its description in RNAcentral is "partial 16S ribosomal RNA". It matches the Rfam family "Bacterial small subunit ribosomal RNA", at positions 524 to 776 of the family's 1533-position model. The record is from RNAcentral.
UACGAAGGGAGCUAGCGUUGUUCGGAAUCACUGGGCGUAAAGCGCACGUAGGCGGAUGUGUCAGUCAGGGGUGAAAUCCCGGAGCUCAACUUCGGAACUGCCUUUGAUACAGCACGUCUUGAGUCCGAUAGAGGUGGGUGGAAUUCCUAGUGUAGAGGUGAAAUUCGUAGAUAUUAGGAAGAACACCGGUGGCGAAGGCGGCGCGCUGGAUCGGUACUGACGCUGAGGUGCGAAAGCGUGGGGAGCAAACAGG